AGGUAUCGCGAAGAGUGCUAGGGCUACAAGUAUGUUAUUAUAGUGCUAAUGAAGACAAUAAUAAACCUAACAAAAUUAAGCGUCAUCUCACACACAAAUGAGGAACCAUGCUGCUCGAUUCAUGUUUUGUUUUUCUUAGUUUGACGUUGUAGAGGAUUCGACAAACUUUUUGUUCUUCCGCACCUUUAUAUGCCUCAUUGAGUUUUUUGCCGUCGAUUGCUGUAACAGCUACUUUCAAUGUCAAAUGUCGAGCUCGAGCAUGCUUAAGAGGAAAAUGUUAACAAAAACCUUGAAGAAGCAAAUAUAAUACUGAAACGGAUGAGUCCUAAAUUAUUAUUUUCUAUCGGAUUUAUUUAUUGAUCAGAUCAAGGACAUUUGGAGUCGUAUUUACGGCUGAAGGAUCAGCAAAAAGACAACCCAAAAGUAAUAGUGUCCAUGUUCGAUCUAAGAGAAGUUUCAAGCGAAAUAAAUUUUGUGAGUUGGGAGAACCAUACAGUGACCAUCUCCCUUUCCGUACACCCGCCGGAAGACCCCAUGACAGAUGCAGAAGAAAAGUGUAACUUUUUCACGAGCUUCAUUUGAUUUAACGAGCAUGGUCGUAAAAGAUAUGAUUAAUAAAUAAAUAAUGUUGAA
Wyeomyia smithii (pitcher-plant mosquito) is the source of this 633-nucleotide long non-coding RNA. RefSeq lists it as uncharacterized. The transcript is spliced from 2 exons. The record is from RefSeq and is a predicted model, not a curated record. Lineage: Eukaryota; Metazoa; Arthropoda; Insecta; Diptera; Culicidae.